Molecule: long non-coding RNA, 378 nt
Organism: Salvia splendens (bonfire salvia)
Lineage: Eukaryota; Viridiplantae; Streptophyta; Magnoliopsida; Lamiales; Lamiaceae
Exons: 2
Source: RefSeq, a predicted model, not a curated record
UUGGACUCAUAAUAUCAAAUUUAGCCCAUUAACAUCUCAAACCCUACUGCCUAUAUUAUAUUAUAUAUAGUAAUUAUGCACCGCUGAUUAGCAAAAUCGUGCUUAUGUUUUCCCAAUUGUUGUGAUGGGUGUUCUUGAUCGAGUAUUCAAUGAUUUGAUGUUGCUGCUCUUUACAAAUUUUAAUUUGAAGUGAGCUGUUGUUAGUAUUUCUCAAGCUGUUGGAUGGAGUUUAUGUCUAUUGCUUUUGUUUGUGUUGGUUUGGAUCGCUGUUGGAGAGGCUGCUUUGGUGUUAAUAAUUUAUCUUGAUUUAAAUUAAUUAUAUGUACAAUAAUUUAAUAUCGUCAAAUUUUUAAUUAAUAAUUCACUAUCUUAUUUUAA